UACGUAGGGGUCGAGCGUUGUCCGGAGUUACUGGGCGUAAAGAGCGCGCAGGCGGUCGAUCAAGUCGAGUGUGAAAGCCCCCGGCUCAACUGGGGAGGGUCAUUCGAUACUGAUCGACUCGAAGGCAGGAGAGGGUAGUGGAAUUCCCGGUGUAGUGGUGAAAUGCGUAGAUAUCGGGAGGAACACCAGUGGCGAAGGCGACUACCUGGCCUGUUCUUGACGCUGAGGCGCGAAAGCUAGGGGAGCAAACAGG
Molecule: ribosomal RNA, 253 nt
Filed under: uncultured bacterium
Lineage: Bacteria
Description: partial 16S ribosomal RNA
Rfam family: Bacterial small subunit ribosomal RNA
Source: RNAcentral